CUACGUAGGGUGCGAGCGUUGUCCGGAAUUACUGGGCGUAAAGAGCUCGUAGGUGGUUUGUCGCGUCGUCUGUGAAAUUCCGGGGCUUGACUCCGGGCGUGCAGGCGACACGGGCAUAACUUGAGUACUGUAGGGGAGACUGGAAUUCCUGGUGUAGCGGUGAAAUGCGCAGAUAUAAGGAGGAACACCGGUGGCGAAGGCGGGUCUCUGGGCAGUAACUGACGCUGCGGAGCGAAAGAAUGGGUAGCGAACAGGCUUAUAUACCCUGGUAGUCCAUGCCGUAAACGGUGGGCGCUAGGUGUAGGGGUCUUCCACGACUUCUGUGCCGUAGCUAACGCAUUAAGCGCCCCGCCUGGGGAGUACGGCCGCAAGGCUAAAACUCAAAUGAAUUGACGGGG
RNAcentral lists this ribosomal RNA (398 nucleotides) under uncultured bacterium. RNAcentral's name for it is "partial 16S ribosomal RNA". It matches the Rfam family "Bacterial small subunit ribosomal RNA", at positions 523 to 918 of the family's 1533-position model. The record is from RNAcentral.